This 379-nucleotide long non-coding RNA is filed under the name Mytilus galloprovincialis (Mediterranean mussel). The record is from RNAcentral. Lineage: Eukaryota; Metazoa; Mollusca; Bivalvia; Mytilida; Mytilidae.
GCAGAUCGCCCAUAAAUAAGAAUAGAAAAAUGUACAGUUCUUAACGUGCUAAAAGUGUUGCAUUUAAAUACAAUAUGGCAAUAUAUUUAAUGUUCCCUUCCAGAAAUAAUGAGAGUUUUAAAUUCGUACAUCCACAUCGAAACAAACUUCUCUCUAGAAUAUGGGUUUUGUCAUACAAUGCUGUGUUUUGUUGUGAUACAAAUAUAUGGUUGGCAGUGUCAUCGGAUACAUUUUUCAAUCAAGAUAGCCUAUUGCAAACUUUAGCUACGUUUAAAUUUAUGUGGUCCAGUAUAUGAAGUGGAGAAUUUUUUUGUAAAAGAUAAUCAGAAAAUUUAAAUUGAAUACAAAGGGCAAUAACUCCAUGAGAGGUCUAUUGUCA